This 413-nucleotide ribosomal RNA is filed under the name Rhizophagus irregularis. Lineage: Eukaryota; Fungi; Glomeromycota; Glomeromycetes; Glomerales; Glomeraceae. The record is from RNAcentral.
CAGUCGUACCUGCGGGUAAUCAGCCUUUUGGGCAUGAUUCUGUGGAGCGUGAGGAGUUAAACGCCUUCAUGCCUGCAUAUUCGUGUACUUUGGGUGUACUUGCCUGUGUGGUUAGUUAACAUCAAUUUUGGUUAUCAUAAAAUGGUUGGAGGAAUGUAGCUUCGAUCUCGUAUUGAAGUGUUAUAGCCUUCGGCAGAUGUGAUGAUCGAGAUUGAGGAUUGCAACGGAUACCCUUCGGGGCUACCUGUCUGAUCUCUGAUCGUUGCUCUGGUACCGAAAGCGUGCUUACGGUUAUCAAAGUCGAUGGUCAACAGGUUAGAACGGGUUAAAUUCGUUAAGGAUGUUGACGUAAUGGCUUUAAACGACCCGUCUUGAAACACGGACCAAGGAGUCUAAACAUAUAUGCGAGUGUU